Nelumbo nucifera (sacred lotus) is the source of this 598-nucleotide long non-coding RNA. RefSeq lists it as uncharacterized. NCBI's taxonomy places the organism in Eukaryota, Viridiplantae, Streptophyta, Magnoliopsida, Proteales, Nelumbonaceae. The record is from RefSeq and is a predicted model, not a curated record.
GAACCCUAACAUCGAUGCCCCUUUCAAAUGGGAAAUGGAUCCUCUUGUUGCUAGUUCAUCCUAUGCCAUUCAUCCUUUUCUACUUUUUCUUUUGUUCCUUUUGUUUCCUUGCGCCAUUCAUCCUACGUUGCUAUUCUUCUCUAUCUCUGAACAGAGAAAAGAGAAGAUGCCAUCACCAAGUAGCUCCACGGUGAUGAUGGCACUAUUAUUCUUUUGCUUCCUUUGUCUCUAAGAAGAUGAAGCCAUCCUUAGACGAUCACAGUUCCACGGGGGACGAUGGCAUUGCUAUUCUUUUGUUUCCUCUAUAUCCGAGAAGAUGAAGUCAUACUGGGAGUUGUGGAUGUUGAUUUCUUCAACUUGUUUGAGGACGAUUUGGAUGAUACCAACAUCAAUUGAAUUGAAGAACUCUAAUCUUUGCCCUAGAAGUUUUUGUUUGUCCAUUGAACUGGUCAAGGAAUUUCUAAACAACUAAUGUUCCUUCUCCAAUUUUGAAUGUAUUGUGUUUGAGGGUUUUAUUUUCCUUGUGAUUGUAGGUUUAUGAGAGAAUUAUGCCUUUCGUGUUUUUUUAAGUCCACCUUUGUACUUUGAUUGCAUUUUA